This 443-nucleotide ribosomal RNA is filed under the name uncultured bacterium. Its description in RNAcentral is "partial 16S ribosomal RNA". It matches the Rfam family "Bacterial small subunit ribosomal RNA", at positions 338 to 795 of the family's 1533-position model. The record is from RNAcentral.
CCUACGGGUGGCAGCAGUGAGGAAUAUUGGUCAAUGGACGAGAGUCUGAACCAGCCAAGUAGCGUGAAGGAUGAAGGCUUUCGGGAUGUAAACUUCUUUUCUCAGGGACGAAGAAAGUGACGGUACCUGAGGAAUAAGCCACUGCUAACUACGUGCCAGCAGCCGCGGUAAUACGUAGGUGGCAAGCGUUAUCCGGAUUUAUUGGGUGUAAAGGGCGUGUAGGCGGGAGCGCAAGUCUGAUGUGAAAAGUCAGGGCUCAACCCUGGGCCUGCUUUUGAAACUGUGUUUCUUGAGUGCUGGAGAGGCAAUCGGAAUUCCGUGUGUAGCGGUGAAAUGCGUAGAUAUACGGAGGAACACCAGUGGCGAAGGCGGAUUGCUGGACAGUAACUGACGCUGAGGCGCGAAAGCGUGGGGAGCAAACAGGAUUAGAUACCCGGGUAGUC